UCCCCUAGUAACUGCGAGUGAAGAGGGAAAAGCUCAAAUUUAAAAUCUGGCAGCUUCGCUGUCCGAGUUGUAAAUUAGAGAAGUGUUACCCGUGUUGGACCGUGUACAAGUCUCCUGGAACGGAGCGUCAUAGAGGGUGAGAAUCCCGUCUUUGACACGGACUACCAAUGCAUUGUGGUACACUCUCAAAGAGUCGUGUUGUUUGGGAAUGCAGCACUAAAUGGGUGGUAAAUUCCAUCUAAAGCUAAAUAUUGGCGAGAGACCGAUAGCGAACAAGUACCGUGAGGGAAAGAUGAAAAGAACUUUGGAAAGAGAGUUAAACAGUACGUGAAAUUGUUGAAAGGGAAACGCUUAAAGUCCAGUCGCGUUGGGUGGAAAUCAGUCUCGCUCUUUUGCUUGAUGUACUUUCUACUUGAUGGGUCAACAUCAGUUUUGACCGUUGGAUAAAGGUUGGGGGAAUGUGGCACCUUCGGGUGUGUUAUAGCCCUUGAUUGUAUACAACGGUUGGGACUGAGGCAUCACGCCGCAAGGCGCUUGGAUGUUGACAUAAUGGCUUUAAUCGACCCGUCUUGAAACACGGACCAAGGAGUCUAACAUGCUUGCGAGUAUUUGGGUGGUAAACUCAUAUGCGCAAUGAAAGUGAAAGUUGAGAACUCGUUAGAGUGCAUCGACGCCCAUACCAGAUGUUUUACUGACGGCUAUGCGGUAGAGCAAGUAUGUUGGGACCCGAAAGAUGGUGAACUAUGCCUGAAUAGGGUGAAGCCAGAGGAAACUCUGGUGGAGGCUCGUAGCGAUUCUGACGUGCAAAUCGAUCGUCAAAUUUGGGUAUAGGGGCGAAAGA
Molecule: ribosomal RNA, 841 nt
Filed under: Cyptotrama asprata
Lineage: Eukaryota; Fungi; Basidiomycota; Agaricomycetes; Agaricales; Physalacriaceae
Description: LSU rRNA
Rfam family: Eukaryotic large subunit ribosomal RNA
Source: RNAcentral